AAGCUCGUAGUUGAAUUUCGAGAUCAGUACGCUGGUCGUGCCUUUGGUAUGCACUGGUGUCACUGGUUUCUCCCUUCUGAAGAACUGUCAUGCCAUUCAGUUGGUGUGGCGGGGAAUCAGGACUGUUACUUUGAAAAAAUUAGAGUGUUUAAAGCAGGCUUGCGCUUGAAUACAUUAGCAUGGAAUAAUGAAAUAGGACGUUUGACCCUAUUUUGUUGGUUUCUAGGAUCGACGUAAUGAUUAAUAGGGAUAGUUGGGGGCAUUAGUAUUCAAUUGUCAGAGGUGAAAUUCUUGGAUUUAUUGAAGACUAACUACUGCGAAAGCAUUUGCCAAGGAUGUUUUCAUUAAUCAAGAACGAAAGUUAGGGGAUCGAAGACGAUCAGAUACCGUCGUAGUCUUAACCAUAAACUAUGCCGACUAGGGAUCGGAUGAUGUUAAUUUUUUAAUGACUCAUUCGGCGCCUUACGGGAAACCAAAGUGUUUGGGUUCCGGGGGGAGUAUGGUCGCAAGGCUGAAACUUAAAGGAAUUGACGGAAGGGCACCACCAGGGGUGGAGCCUGCGGCUUAAUUUGACUCAACACGGGGAAA
Molecule: ribosomal RNA, 588 nt
Filed under: uncultured Glomus
Lineage: Eukaryota; Fungi; Glomeromycota; Glomeromycetes; Glomerales; Glomeraceae
Description: SSU rRNA
Rfam family: Eukaryotic small subunit ribosomal RNA
Source: RNAcentral